GGGCCACUAGCUCAGCUGGUAGAGCACAUCCAUGGCAUGGAUGGGGUCAGGGGUUCAAGUCCCCUGUGGUCCA
RNAcentral lists this transfer RNA (73 nucleotides) under Candidatus Falkowiibacteriota bacterium. Its description in RNAcentral is "tRNA-Ala". It matches the Rfam family "tRNA". Rfam says of the family: Transfer RNA (tRNA) molecules are approximately 80 nucleotides in length. Their secondary structure includes four short double-helical elements and three loops (D, anti-codon, and T loops). Further hydrogen bonds mediate the characteristic L-shaped molecular structure. tRNAs have two regions of fundamental functional importance: the anti-codon, which is responsible for specific mRNA codon recognition, and the 3' end, to which the tRNAs corresponding amino acid is attached (by aminoacyl-tRNA synthetases). tRNAs cope with the degeneracy of the genetic code in two manners: having more than one tRNA (with a specific anti-codon) for a particular amino acid; and 'wobble' base-pairing, i.e. permitting non-standard base-pairing at the 3rd anti-codon position. Lineage: Bacteria; Candidatus Falkowiibacteriota. The record is from RNAcentral.